Molecule: ribosomal RNA, 1091 nt
Filed under: Escherichia coli
Lineage: Bacteria; Pseudomonadati; Pseudomonadota; Gammaproteobacteria; Enterobacterales; Enterobacteriaceae
Description: partial 23S ribosomal RNA
Rfam family: Bacterial large subunit ribosomal RNA
Source: RNAcentral
GGGUUGUGAGGUUAAGCGACUAAGCGUACACGGUGGAUGCCCUGGCAGUCAGAGGCGAUGAAGGACGUGCUAAUCUGCGAUAAGCGUCGGUAAGGUGAUAUGAACCGUUAUAACCGGCGAUUUCCGAAUGGGGAAACCCAGUGUGUUUCGACACACUAUCAUUAACUGAAUCCAUAGGUUAAUGAGGCGAACCGGGGGAACUGAAACAUCUAAGUACCCCGAGGAAAAGAAAUCAACCGAGAUUCCCCCAGUAGCGGCGAGCGAACGGGGAGCAGCCCAGAGCCUGAAUCAGUGUGUGUGUUAGUGGAAGCGUCUGGAAAGGCGCGCGAUACAGGGUGACAGCCCCGUACACAAAAAUGCACAUACUGUGAGCUCGAUGAGUAGGGCGGGACACGUGGUAUCCUGUCUGAAUAUGGGGGGACCAUCCUCCAAGGCUAAAUACUCCUGACUGACCGAUAGUGAACCAGUACCGUGAGGGAAAGGCGAAAAGAACCCCGGCGAGGGGAGUGAAAAAGAACCUGAAACCGUGUACGUACAAGCAGUGGGAGCACGCUUCGGCGUGUGACUGCGUACCUUUUGUAUAAUGGGUCAGCGACUUAUAUUCUGUAGCAAGGUUAACCGAAUAGGGGAGCCGAAGGGAAACCGAGUCUUAACUGGGCGUUAAGUUGCAGGGUAUAGACCCGAAACCCGGUGAUCUAGCCAUGGGCAGGUUGAAGGUUGGGUAACACUAACUGGAGGACCGAACCGACUAAUGUUGAAAAAUUAGCGGAUGACUUGUGGCUGGGGGUGAAAGGCCAAUCAAACCGGGAGAUAGCUGGUUCUCCCCGAAAGCUAUUUAGGUAGCGCCUCGUGAAUUCAUCUCCGGGGGUAGAGCACUGUUUCGGCAAGGGGGUCAUCCCGACUUACCAACCCGAUGCAAACUGCGAAUACCGGAGAAUGUUAUCACGGGAGACACACGGCGGGUGCUAACGUCCGUCGUGAAGAGGGAAACAACCCAGACCGCCAGCUAAGGUCCCAAAGUCAUGGUUAAGUGGGAAACGAUGUGGGAAGGCCCAGACAGCCAGGAUGUUGGCUUAGAAGCAGCCAUCAUU